This 853-nucleotide long non-coding RNA is filed under the name Homo sapiens (human). Its description in RNAcentral is "HSALNT0297741". The record is from RNAcentral. Lineage: Eukaryota; Metazoa; Chordata; Mammalia; Primates; Hominidae.
CCUAAUACAAUAGCCACUAGCCAUAUGUGCCUACUGAAUAUUUAAAAUAUGGCUAGUGUGACUGGGAGCUGAAGUUUCCAUUUUAUUUAGACUUAACUAGCUCAAAUUUAAAUAGCCACAUGUAACUUAUGGCUUGGUAUUGGACAGCAUAGAACAUCUAUAGAAAAUCAAAAGCAGUGGGUAAAAAAUGAGGAAUCAGAAGAAGGGUCUCAUUCUGUUGCCCAGGCUGGAGUGUGGUGGCAUGAUCAUAGUGUAGCAGGACAAGCCACGGACAAAACCUCUCAGACACGGCCAAAUAAAGCCAAAUCCUUCCUUAACCCACUGUCUGAGAGCUCGGUUUUUGAGACGUGAGUCUGAUGAAGCUCCUGGCCAAAUAAAUUCUUCAGAGAGCUGGGUUCUUGAGGCGCUAGUCUGCCGAAGCUCCCGGACGUUGAGACGUGAGUCUGCCGAAGCUCCUGGCAAAAUAAAGCCAAAUCCUUCCUUAACCUGGUGUCUGAGAGGUUUUGUCCACGGCUCGUCCUGCUACAGUAGCUCACUGCAAAUUCAAACUUCUGUGCUCAAGCAAUCCUCCUGCCUCAUCCUCCUGAGUAGCUGAGACUACAGGCAUGUGCCAAGUACACCUGGCUAAUUUUUAAAUUUUCUUUGGAGAGAGGGUCUUGCUAUGUUGCCUAGGCUGGUCUCAAACUCCUGGCCUUAAGCCAUCCUCCCACCUUGGUCACUCAGAGUGCUAGGAUUAUAGAUGUGCAUCACCACGCCUGUCCUGAACUUCAAGUUUCAAGGCACAUCUCUGUUCUUAGAGAAAAAAUUAAAAGACUAUAUAUCAAAAUGUUAACUUCAGGUGGUGUGAUUGUGA